This 106-nucleotide small nucleolar RNA is filed under the name Capsicum annuum. RNAcentral describes it as "Plant small nucleolar RNA R71". It matches the Rfam family "Plant small nucleolar RNA R71". From Rfam's summary of the family: R71 is a member of the C/D box family of snoRNAs containing the C (UGAUGA) and D (CUGA) box motifs. The record is from Rfam by way of RNAcentral. Lineage: Eukaryota; Viridiplantae; Streptophyta; Magnoliopsida; Solanales; Solanaceae.
ACCUCGUGAUUGGGACAUUGCAUGAGCUUCCCAUUAAAUAUCUCCCAUACCUCAUAUAGAGGUUCUUCAUUCAAUUGAUAAAAAUUAGUGAUUUCAUAAUGCAAUU